GUAGGGUAAAAGCCUACCAAGGCAUCGAUCAGUAGCUGGUCUGAGAGGACGACCAGCCACACUGGAACUGAGACACGGUCCAGACUCCUACGGGAGGCAGCAGUGGGGAAUUUUGGACAAUGGGCGAAAGCCUGAUCCAGCAAUGCCGCGUGAGUGAAGAAGGCCUUCGGGUUGUAAAGCUCUUUUGUCAGGGAAGAAACGGUGAAGGCUAAUAUCCUUUGCUAAUGACGGUACCUGAAGAAUAAGCACCGGCUAACUACGUGCCAGCAGCCGCGGUAAUACGUAGGGUGCAAGCGUUAAUCGGAAUUACUGGGCGUAAAGCGUGCGCAGGCGGUUUUGUAAGUCUGAUGUGAAAUCCCCGGGCUCAACCUGGGAAUUGCAUUGGAGACUGCAAGGCUAGAAUCUGGCAGAGGGGGGUAGAAUUCCACGUGUAGCAGUGAAAUGCGUAGAUAUGUGGAGGAACACCGAUGGCGAAGGCAGCCCCCUGGGUCAAGAUUGACGCUCAUGCAC
RNAcentral lists this ribosomal RNA (510 nucleotides) under bacterium I5. RNAcentral describes it as "bacterial SSU rRNA". It matches the Rfam family "Bacterial small subunit ribosomal RNA", at positions 252 to 754 of the family's 1533-position model. The record is from RNAcentral.